UACGAAGGGGGCUAGCGUUGCUCGGAAUCACUGGGCGUAAAGCGCACGUAGGCGGAUUGUUAAGUCAGGGGUGAAAUCCUGGAGCUCAACUCCAGAACUGCCUUUGAUACUGGCGAUCUUGAGUCCGGGAGAGGUGAGUGGAACUCCGAGUGUAGAGGUGAAAUUCGUAGAUAUUCGGAAGAACACCAGUGGCGAAGGCGGCUCACUGGCCCGGUACUGACGCUGAUGUGCGAAAGCGUGGGGAGCAAGCAGG
Molecule: ribosomal RNA, 253 nt
Filed under: uncultured bacterium
Lineage: Bacteria
Description: partial 16S ribosomal RNA
Rfam family: Bacterial small subunit ribosomal RNA
Source: RNAcentral